UCUGUUGCUUUGACAAAUAACUAUCAGCAAGCGGAUACAGGGACCAAAAUGAUACAUAAGGGAAAGAAUACUAGAAGUCGAAUUAUUUCGAAAGGCAUUUCAGCUGGGAAUUCCAGAAACUGUUAUAGGGGACUUGUUCAGAUUCAGUCAAAGGCAGACAAUGCUCGAAACUCUUCGCAGUGCGACUCAAUGCUUAUCGGUGACACUGCA
Molecule: unclassified non-coding RNA, 210 nt
Filed under: Hevea brasiliensis (rubber tree)
Lineage: Eukaryota; Viridiplantae; Streptophyta; Magnoliopsida; Malpighiales; Euphorbiaceae
Source: RNAcentral